RNAcentral lists this ribosomal RNA (1265 nucleotides) under metagenome. Its description in RNAcentral is "bacterial SSU rRNA". It matches the Rfam family "Bacterial small subunit ribosomal RNA", at positions 197 to 1447 of the family's 1533-position model. The record is from RNAcentral.
AGGGGGAAAGUGGGGGAUCGUAAGACCUCACGUUAUUCGAGCGGCCGACGUCUGAUUAGCUAGUUGGUGAGGUAAUGGCUCACCAAGGCGACGAUCAGUAGCGGGUCUGAGAGGAUGAUCCGCCACACUGGGACUGAGACACGGCCCAGACUCCUACGGGAGGCAGCAGUGGGGAAUUUUGGACAAUGGGGGCAACCCUGAUCCAGCCAUUCCGCGUGAGUGAAGAAGGCCUUCGGGUUGUAAAGCUCUUUCAGCAGGAACGAAACGGUAGAGGCUAAUACCCUCUGCUAAUGACGGUACCUGCAGAAGAGGCACCGGCUAACUACGUGCCAGCAGCCGCGGUAAUACGUAGGGUGCGAGCGUUAAUCGGAAUUACUGGGCGUAAAGCGUGCGCAGGCGGAUUGUUAAGCAAGACGUGAAAUCCCCGGGCUUAACCUGGGAAUGGCGUUUUGAACUGGCAGUCUAGAGUGUGUCAGAGGGGGGUGGAAUUCCACGUGUAGCAGUGAAAUGCGUAGAGAUGUGGAGGAACACCAAUGGCGAAGGCAGCCCCCUGGGAUAACACUGACGCUCAUGUACGAAAGCGUGGGUAGCAAACAGGAUUAGAUACCCUGGUAGUCCACGCCCUAAACGAUGUCAACUGGUUGUUGGGGGAGUGAAAUCCCUUAGUAACGAAGCUAACGCGUGAAGUUGACCGCCUGGGGAGUACGGUCGCAAGAUUAAAACUCAAAGGAAUCGACGGGGACCCGCACAAGCGGUGGAUGAUGUGGAUUAAUUCGAUGCAACGCGAAAAACCUUACCUACCCUUGACAUGUCCAGAAUCCUGCAGAGAUGCGGGAGUGCCCGAAAGGGAAUUGGAGCACAGGUGCUGCAUGGCUGUCGUCAGCUCGUGUCGUGAGAUGUUGGGUUAAGUCCCGCAACGAGCGCAACCCUUAUCAUUAGUUGCUACGCAAGGGCACUCUAAUGAGACUGCCGGUGACAAACCGGAGGAAGGUGGGGAUGACGUCAAGUCCUCAUGGCCCUUAUGGGUAGGGCUUCACACGUCAUACAAUGGUCGGUACAGAGGGUUGCCAAGCCGCGAGGUGGAGCCAAUCCCAGAAAGCCGAUCGUAGUCCGGAUUGUUCUCUGCAACUCGAGAGCAUGAAGUCGGAAUCGCUAGUAAUCGCGGAUCAGCAUGUCGCGGUGAAUACGUUCCCGGGUCUUGUACACACCGCCCGUCACACCAUGGGAGUGGAAUCUGCCAGAAGUAGGUAGCCUAACCGCAAGGA